AGCAGCCGCGGUAAUACGGAGGGUGCGAGCGUUAAUCGGAAUUACUGGGCGUAAAGCGCAUGCAGGUGGUUUGUUAAGUCAGAUGUGAAAGCCCGGGGCUCAACCUCGGAAUUGCAUUUGAAACUGGCAAACUAGAGUACUGUAGAGGGGGUAGAAUUUCAGGUGUAGCGGUGAAAUGCGUAGAGAUCUGAAGGAAUACCGGUGGCGAAGGCGGCCCCCCUGGACAGAUACUGACACUCAGAUGCGAAAGCGUGGGGAGCAAACAGGAUUAGAUACCCUGGUAG
RNAcentral lists this ribosomal RNA (284 nucleotides) under uncultured bacterium. Its description in RNAcentral is "partial 16S ribosomal RNA". It matches the Rfam family "Bacterial small subunit ribosomal RNA", at positions 510 to 793 of the family's 1533-position model. The record is from RNAcentral.